AAUGAACGUUGGCGGCGUGGAUUAGGCAUGCAAGUCGAGCGCGAACCCCGCAAGGGGUAAAGCGGCGAAAGGGAGAGUAACGCGUGGGUAUCUGCCCUCGGGACUGGGAUAGCUGCGGGAAACUGCAGGUAAUACCAGAUGACGUCCCCGGACCAAAGGUGUGAUUCCGCCUGAGGAUGAGCCCGCGUCCUAUUAGCUAGUUGGUAGGGUAAUGGCCUACCAAGGCAAUGAUGGGUACUGGGUGUGAGAGCACGACCCAGCUCACUGGGACUGAGACACUGCCCAGACACCUACGGGUGGCUGCAGUCGAGAAUCUUCGGCAAUGGGCGAAAACCUGACCGAGCGACGCCGCGUGUGGGAUGAAGGCCUUCGGGUUGUAAACCGCUGUCAGAGGGGAGGAAUGGGCGGAGGGUAAUCUCUUCGAUUUGACCUAUCCUCAGAGGAAGUACGGGCUAAGUUCGUGCCAGCAGCCGCAGUAA
Molecule: ribosomal RNA, 479 nt
Filed under: uncultured bacterium
Lineage: Bacteria
Description: partial 16S ribosomal RNA
Rfam family: Bacterial small subunit ribosomal RNA
Source: RNAcentral